GGUGGCAGUGACAGUGGUUCCAACCGGUUUUGGGUUAGAUUCAUCAAGAGUGUCGAUUCAGGUCCUCACGGUCCAACUUGGUUUCGGGUCAGAUCUCGUGUCUGGUUUGGGUUCAGUUCAAAAUUGGUUUAACUUGGUUCAGCAUAACAACUUCGGGUCAGUUUCGCAUUCGGGUCAAAUGUUGUUAAAGGCAGUCGACUCCGGUCAACAUCAUGUUCAGUUCGUUUCAGCCAGAUUCUCGUGUUUGCUUUGCACGGAUUCGGGUUCGGUUCAAGAGACGUGUCGAGUUACGGCUUGAUGUUCGGGCUUCAGUUCGGUCAGACGCGGUCAAAGCCAGUCAACUGGUCAAAGCCGGUCAACUGGUCAAACCUGGUCAACAGACGGGUCAUCGGGUUAAGCUUGAGACUCGAAUAAAAGUGGAGAAAAUGGUGACUUCGGUGUUCCAUCAUCCUAACCUCACACUCGUCGACACUUGGAUAAUCGGA
Molecule: long non-coding RNA, 485 nt
Organism: Helianthus annuus (common sunflower)
Lineage: Eukaryota; Viridiplantae; Streptophyta; Magnoliopsida; Asterales; Asteraceae
Exons: 3
Source: RefSeq, a predicted model, not a curated record